This 1169-nucleotide long non-coding RNA is filed under the name Anas platyrhynchos platyrhynchos (common mallard). RNAcentral's name for it is "lncRNA (ENSAPLG00000026571.1)". The record is from RNAcentral. Lineage: Eukaryota; Metazoa; Chordata; Aves; Anseriformes; Anatidae.
UUUUCAUCUGACAGGAGACGUAAUGGUCCUCGUGAUGAAAGCAGUGACCUAAGAUUUUGGAGAUCUGUUGGAUACUUGAUUUUACCACACACUCCUUGAAUAAACCAGAAAAGUCCUUCUGUGAUUAAGCAAGUCACCCGCAGAGCAGGGAUGGCAAGGACAAUGUUCUUCUGUCUUCAGACAGGUAUUGUAGAGAUACUUCCAAAAUGUAGCUGAGGGCAAAAAGUAGGAAUGGGAUGGUGGCACACACAUAGCGUGGUCACGGGAACUGGUGUGCUAGAUGUCAUUAUUGUGUUUACAGCACUGUAUGGAGUCAUCUUCACGGAGCUGCUGAAAAACAGAUACUUCAUAGGACAGCUGAAGUGUGAGGUGCUGCUGGUAGUCCUGGUUUGUAGGAGAAGAGACGUGCUAGUCCCUGGCUGCGUCAGGAGGAGGAAAUAAUGUCUAGUGGGGUUAGAAGGAAAAGCUGUAAUGGUGUAACUGCAGUUACUGCUCUUUCUGUCUGUUGCAGGAUAGCCCCACUGUGAGGGUAGUUGGCACAAAUGGAGACGUGGUAGUGAUUUUGUGCCAAGUUUCGGUAUGGUGCUGGUCAAACUUUAUUGCAAAAAUCCCUGUGUUACAAGUUUCAAAAAGAUUAGCAAAGGCUCCAAUCUCUGGUGAAGAGGAAUCUGAAGAAACUCUUCUUUCACAUAAGAGACUUUAUUUGAAAACCAUAGGAAGUGGAUGCAUCAGAAGAUGUUUUGAGAUAAAGGUGACAUUGUUGAUUUUAAGUAUUUCACUAAGCAAGAGCUUCCUUGACCACACAAAAUGACAGAGAAGGUGACUUGCACAACAUAAUGACUGUUUUAGUCCCUCGGCCCCUCCAGAUUUUGGUAAUGGAUCUCAGAGAAAUACUUGAAUCACUCCCCAGAAAAGGAAGCCUCAAUUUUACAGGUCGAGUGGUUUUGUCUUCAGCAAGACUCAUCCAAGGCAUGAGCUCGGAACUGGGGACGCGGCCUCCUAAUGGAGGCGCCGCUACCUCACGCCUGUCACGGUGGGGAGCUUCAGCCGAAUGCUUUAAAAUUUAAUCUUUUUGUGCCUCCUGUUGGAGAGGAGCAGUGCCCUUAGGAAAGAGGUAACUUUAAACAUAAAGUGCUUGUGUCUAAGCUACUGCCUCUGGGGCCCAAAAA